CUCGGUCAGAAAGCGCGUGCUCGCUGACAGGUCCGGUUAAAGAGUCAAGUUAAAGCCUUCUGUCCAAUCCAGUGAAUGGGUGCACAGAGAAGAACGCAGGAGCGCCGUCAGGAUUCUGCAGGUCGGUGUUGGGACUCGAGCUUUGAUGUGUGCGGGACUUUGUUCUCUCAUUGAUGUGGAUUCCGAUUAAAAGGUUACUGCAGUAACGCGCGAGCGCCAAUCCGCACACGGAAAUAAGUGCUGGGAUACAGCAGACUGAACAUUCCAGAGAUCACAUCAGGAAUAAUGCUGUAGUCGAAAUUGUGGUCCAUCACUGACUCUACAAGAAAAAAGGAGGAAGAAGCAGCAGCAUGGCGGCUUUUAAACUGGAUAAUGUUGAGGAUUUAUAUGAAAUCAGGGAGGUACUGGGAAGUGGUCAUUUCGGGCAGGUGCGUGAGGUGUGUGAACGAGCUACAGGUAUCCUGUGGGCAGGGAAGUUUCUGAAGCUCCAGCGUAGUGCGGGGAGCCGCCUGGGCCUGGAGAGGGUGAGCGUGGAGAAAGAGGUGGAAAUCCUGCAGAGCCUCCAACACCAGAACAUCAUGACCCUCAAGGAUGUGUUCGAAAGCAAGGUGGAGGUGGUCCUCAUCAUAGAGCUUAUUCGUGGUGGUGAGCUGUUUGACUUCAUCGCUGAGAAGGAGUUUCUGACUGAGACAGACGCAAUUGAGUUCCUCAAGCAGAUUCUCGAGGGCGUGAACUACAUGCACAGCAAACACAUUGGCCACUUUGACUUAAAGCCCGAGAACAUCAUGUUGUCAGAUAAGCAGGUCCCCAGUCCUAAUAUUAAGAUCAUUGAUUUUGGCAUGGCCCACUGCUUUCAACAAGGAGAGGAGUAUAAGAGCAUGGGCGGCACGCCUCAGUAUAUCGCACCUGAGAUCAUCAAGUAUGAACCUCUGAGCACAGCAGCUGAUAUGUGGAGCAUUGGUGUCAUCACCUAUAUCCUGCUGAGUGGUCUUUCUCCGUUCCAAGGCGAGACAAAUGAAGAGACACUGGAGAACAUUGUGGCAUUGACGUACAAGUUUGACGCACAAUACUUCAGCCAAACCAGCUCUAUGGCCAAAGACUUUAUCCAGAAGCUACUCGUCAAAGAGCAAAGUGAGAGGAUGACUGCUGAGGAAUGUCUGAUUCACCCCUGGAUUAAACCUCUUACUAGGACACAGAUGGCGAAGAGAAAUCGCUCUUCCAUUAACAUGAAGAACUUUAAGAUGUUUAACGCUAAGAGAAAGUGGAAGAUGUCCUAUAACAUGGUGUCAGCCUGCAAUCGCCUAUGCAAGCUCAAGUUGGUGUGUAAGACCAGUACCUUGGAAAAACAAGACCUGAGAGAUUGUGAAAGCGACCAGGAAGACACUAAUACAAAAACCGCCUCUCUCUUGCGUCGCCGACUCAGCAGCAGUUCCUAGAGGAGAGAUGAGGUGUGACAGUGAAAUCAUCUGCAGAGCAUGAAGGAAAGCAGACGUAUGGUUUCUUGGUAAAGACCUAUAACUGGGAAACAUAAAGCUUUGCAGACUAAAGGAAUUUUGCUACUCACCUUGAACCCACAACGUUUCCUGCUGCACCAGGAGAUGAUAGUUUGGAAAACAAGGAGCGAAGCAAACAGCAAUCACUGCUGCUGAGCCAUCGAGGAAAAUAAAGGUAAGCUCCUUUGCUGCAUGUUUGCAGCAGAAACCAAAAAUGGUUCAGCUGUUCUCUAAGUGGUUUUACUAUGUUGGAAUGAAAUUGGCAGUGUGCAAGAGCCAAAUGCAAGCUCUGUUACCAACAAGAUGACUGUACUGAAGUGCAGAACUUGGUACAGCUGCUUUGCAUAUAGAGAUGGACCUUGAUAUACUAUCAGUAGCAGUAGGUUCACCACUGUUUUGAUCACGAUGGUGAAAGGUGAUGUGUAACAGAUUGGUCCAAAAUCCAAAAUAUGUACUUAUGUUGAGAUCUGGCUCUCUAAAGGGACAAAUAGCCACCAGACUUGCCAUCCGUCUGUGAAUGCUCUUCCAGAUGAGGCCUGUGUCCACACGUUCUCAAACACCAUAUUGUCCAGCUGUUUGUGUGCUUUGUGGAACGUCAUCGCAAGCCCCUGCUGUCUAAAGACAGGUGAGUAGCCAUUGAAAAAAGCCACUGAAUGCUCCAUUAAGACCUGUUAUGAACCCUCUUUGUGACCUUGAUAUGCAGUCUCUGAUAGUUCCGAUGUAAAUAAGUAGAAUUUGUCAUUUUGUCAAUUUACAUUCGAUUUAUGUAAAAAUGGUUCUGUGACAAAGUGGAGGAUACUGUAGGGUCCAUAUGACAGGGUCAUAAUCAUGAGCUGACUGCAGUUUUUGCUUGACAAGGAAAUGGGCACAUGGGAACCUCCAGUAGUUCUGAAGGAAACCCUGCCGGUCAUCCACACAGUUGUAGAUCCACAGUACAUAACCUUACAUUUUCACUAUAUUUCAGUCAGUAACGUGAAGAAGAAGAAAUUUCUCAAAUCAACAUACAAAUGCAUAGUUUGCUCUAAAGUUUUGAGGUCUGAUGGUAUAUUUGUAACAAACAAAUCUAGGCUAUACUGUUUUAUAAAUUCUGCUGUAUAUUUAAAUAAUAUUGGCUGGCGUUGAGUGGUAUAUCAGAUAUAUUCCAUUCAGCUAGCAUGAUAUUGAACAAGUUGAAGCUGAAUGGAAUAUAUGUGAUAGACUACGAAAAAAAGCCAGGCAAUAUUAUUAUUAUUAUUAUUAUUAUUAUUAUUAUUAUAAUACAUACACACUCUUUUCAUAUCAGCAUUCUCAAAGGCCAGCGCUAGCUUACUUACGACUUGGUGAUGUUAGCACAGCAGUCCAGUUACCUUCUAGGCAGUGUAGCAUUCAGCAGUAGCAUUAGCAAAGGCCAACACAAGCUUACAUGCGAUUCGGUGCUGUUAAUGCGGCAGUCCAGUUACCUUCUAGCUGGUGUAAUGCUAGCGAAGGCCAAUGCUAGAGCAGUCAAGCCAAAUAUUAUAAUUAGCUAUUAUUAUUUUCCUUGUGUAAUUUACUUAGUUACUUUUAAAAUCAACAUUGACAGCUACACACAACGGAGCAACCUGGCAGCCAAAAUUCUCUCAAAAUUUUCCGCUUUUAACGAAACAAACCUGGCGGCCAUGUUUGUUUACAAACUGUCACAGUCACUCGCUAGCGUGGAAGUUUUACAUUUCUGCCGUGUCUCUUUUCCAGUUUUUCGAUGUCCAUUGGUAUGUUUUUCUCUUUUAAAUGUAAGAAUAUAUAAUGAAGUUUUGGUAGCCUUUCUGGUGUUCAAUGCGUCUUUGGUUUCAGUUUUUAGUCCAUUUAUUUAGUGCUUAAUUAUAGCAUAGCUAAUCCUAGCAUCCUAACGUCUUCUCUCUCUCCCGGCCAACAAAGAAAUGAUUGUGCGCGUGUGCAGCAGAAAAGUUUUGUCAUUGGAUCUUCGCAUAAGUUCUGACGUGUGACGCCGUGUUGUCUUGACAAUGUGCAAUAUUGUAACAAUAUUGCAUACUCAUUCUCCAUUGCGGAGAGUGGCGUAAUACAUGGAGGAUGAGCGAUAUGAUAACAAUAUUGCAUGCCAUUGAUAAACUAUACUAGUUUACUAGAAGGGAAUAGAAUGCAUGUUUUUAUUCAUUGGAAAAAGUGGCCCGUAUGUAUAAUAAUUGAUUAAUAUUUAAUUUUCUAUACUGCACAGCACAGCAUUAAAUAUAGAAUUAGAAUUCUCUGUAAAGGUGCCACUUUCACACCCAUACUUGGUGUUAAGGUUCACCUUACUCAUUAGCGAAUUAUGAAACACUAACAUUUUUCAUCACAAAAUAUAAUACUACAUACAAAAAGUUGUGUAAAACAUUUUUUCCCAGCUAUGAAACAACCAUGUCAUACUGAAAUGUUAUAAAGUUUCAGGUCAGACACAGUGGCUAAGACCCAAAGCUAUGAAAUGUAGAUUUUAUGGAUGAUCAUGGGUGAAUUUAAACACUUACUAAAGCUAAGCUUAAAAGUUUAUUGUUUAAUAAUUGCAUAUGCCAUUAUACCAUUAGAUUAUUAUUUGUUUGUAUUACAAGGCAAAAUUUCAUAGUAAAAAAAAUAGUCUUCCAUUUUGAAAAGCAACCACCUUUAUAUAUUAUUUUCAUUAUUUUACAUUAUAUUCUGGAUAUAUAGUUAAAAUAUAAAAUAUAUGGUUAUUUUUUUCAUGGUUGUUAAGAAUAUUAUUUUUCUAAUAUGCAUUUAGUGCUGGUGGUGUAGUGGUUAGCACUGUCACCUCACAGCAAGAAGGUUCUGGGUUCGAGCCCAGUGGCUGACGGGGACCUUUCUGUGUGGAGUUUGCAUGUUCUCCCUGUUCUGGUUUCCCCCACAGUCCAAAGACAUGCAGGUUAGGUUAACUGGUGACUCUAAAUUAAGUGUGAAUGGUUGUUUGUCUGUAUGUGUCAGCCCUGUGAUGAUCUGGCGACUUGUCCAGGGUGUACCCCGCUUCUUGCCCAUAGUCAGCUGGGAUAGGCUCCAGCUUGCCCGUGAUCCUGUACAGGAUAAGCAGCUAUGGAUAAUGGAUGGAUGGAGUAUUGGACUGUGCUGUAUUGUUUUUAUACGCUUAUUUUGUAUUUUUAUUCUUAUCUUUAUUAUCCUUUUUAGGAUACAAUUGUGUGUAUAUUCUUUUUUUUUUUACUGUAAAAUAUUGUCCUUAAUG
This is an RNA transcript of Neoarius graeffei (lesser salmon catfish), 4671 nucleotides long. It is a transcript of the gene named death-associated protein kinase 2, with no coding region annotated. The record is from RefSeq and is a predicted model, not a curated record. The transcript has 13 exons. NCBI's taxonomy places the organism in Eukaryota, Metazoa, Chordata, Actinopteri, Siluriformes, Ariidae.